UACGGAGGGGGCUAGCGUUGUUCGGAAUUACUGGGCGUAAAGCGUGCGUAGGUGGUUCGUUAAGUCUGUCGUGAAAGCCCCGGGCUCAACCUGGGAAUGGCGAUGGAUACUGGCGGGCUAGAGUGCGGUAGAGGAGAGUGGAAUUCCCGGUGUAGCAGGUGAAAUGCGUAGAGAUCGGGAGGAACAUCAGUUGCGAAGGCGGCUCUCUGGACCAGCGACUGACACUGAGGCACGAAAGCGUGGGGAGCAAACAGG
This 255-nucleotide ribosomal RNA is filed under the name uncultured bacterium. RNAcentral's name for it is "partial 16S ribosomal RNA". It matches the Rfam family "Bacterial small subunit ribosomal RNA", at positions 524 to 776 of the family's 1533-position model. The record is from RNAcentral.